This 443-nucleotide ribosomal RNA is filed under the name uncultured bacterium. RNAcentral's name for it is "partial 16S ribosomal RNA". It matches the Rfam family "Bacterial small subunit ribosomal RNA", at positions 338 to 795 of the family's 1533-position model. The record is from RNAcentral.
CCUACGGGAGGCAGCAGUGGGGAAUAUUGGACAAUGGGGGGAACCCUGAUCCAGCGACGCCGCGUGAGUGAAGAAGUAUUUCGGUAUGUAAAGCUCUAUCAGCAGGGAAGAAAGAAAUGACGGUACCUGACUAAGAAGCCCCGGCUAACUACGUGCCAGCAGCCGCGGUAAUACGUAGGGGGCAAGCGUUAUCCGGAUUUACUGGGUGUAAAGGGAGCGUAGACGGCGAUGUAAGUCUGAAGUGAAAGGCGGGGGCCCAACCCCCGGACUGCUUUGGAAACUGUAUGGCUGGAGUGCAGGAGAGGUAAGGGGAAGUGCUAGUGUAGCGGUGAAAUGCGGAGAUAUUAGGAGGAACACCAGUGGCGAAGGCGGCUUACUGGACCGUAACUGACGUUGAGGCUCGAAAGCGUGGGGAGCAAACAGGAUUAGAUACCCCGGUAGUC